RNAcentral lists this transfer RNA (85 nucleotides) under Shewanella piezotolerans WP3. RNAcentral's name for it is "tRNA-Tyr". Lineage: Bacteria; Pseudomonadati; Pseudomonadota; Gammaproteobacteria; Alteromonadales; Shewanellaceae. The record is from RNAcentral.
GUGUCACAGGCUCAUGCCACCAACUGGACAUUAAUGCUCAAUCUAGCAUACUCAUUGAUUGUGGAUUAUUCCAAGGCGCGGAAAC